CCAAUACUACACUUUUAACUCAUGAAUUUAUCUAGUACUUCAAAUUCUGGUCUAUGGCGUUAAAACGAUCAGCGCUGGUCUUCUUGGACAAUACUUUGUCUUCAGUACAAGUAUUCCAUCUGGUUUCACGGAAGUUCGAAGAGCCCUCUUCUGCAACAACUCCCAACCAACCAACCCCUGCGAAGCCUGCACGCAAACCAGGCAAGAAUUCGCGUCAGCAAAAAGCUGAGAACUUUCGUAUAAAGAAGAAUCAGGAGUUUGAUAAACAACUCAGAACUAAACAAGAGACCUGGGCUGCACAGUUCAAAGUUACAGCAGAUGAAAUAUUUCAAGUAAAUAAUACUAUCCAACUGUACAUUAAUUUAAAUAGAUAAUUAAAUACAUUUUAAAUAUUUACAACAUUUAUAAUACUCCUAUGCAUAUUUCAACAACAAUUAUUGUACACAUUAUAAAUUAAUUGUCAUUUUAAGGUUAUAUCUAUAUAAAAAAAUAAGUAAUUAUACUAUUAUUUAGUAUUUGUCAUGGUCUUGUUUUGGGAUCAACUAGUGUAUUGAAAAAUUCGCAAAUGAAUAUGUAAACCGCUACAAAUUAUCUAAUACACAUUUUGAAACUGGAAGACUCAUUUAUUGAUAACUACAAUUAAUAAUCCUAUAAAAUGCCUUCUAAUAUAAUAAUCACCCAGUAAGUCUUUUGAGACUCAGAAUCCAUUAAAUACAUAAGAAAUGAAAUUUUUCACAUAAAGUAUCACAGAAUUUUCAUUUCAACUGCACCAGCAUCAUUCAGCAAAGUAUAAAGACUAUGGUCAUGGUAACUUUAAUCGGUAAGCAAAAAUUAUAAUACGCGUGAAAAAUAAUAUAAUUGUUUAAUAAAAGUCACGUAUAAAAAAAACUUAUGAACUACAUUUUUUCAUACUUUGAGGCUUGAACUUACAAACUUUUAUAAAUGCAAUAAAUAAAUACAGCAGAUUCAAAAAUUCCAACAUUUAAAUAAAUAUUAUUGAUCGAUAAAUAAUACAUCAGCUUAUUUUUUAACAAUAAUGAUAUUAAAAGAUGGUCUAACAAAAGCAAAAAUUAGUAAGAGAUGAUUAUAUCUAUCAAUUCUAUAAAAACUGUAUUAGUAAUACAAUAAAUCUAACGAUUAGUUAAAAUUAGAGAGAAUUUGUACUAAUAAUUAGUGCUCACAGAUUCUUUUGAAACUUUAACUAAAUAUUAAAUAUCUUUAAAGCAUACUCUUCCCCCAUCAUCCUGGUCUGCCUAUUCUCCCUGGUAUAGUCUGCGAGAUCAGUUUCAUUUCAGCAUUUUGCCAUCGUCAGUGGUUUUUCUGACAAAACCAGUGAUAAUAUACCAGGAUGAUCAGAGGUGUUCUUGAGGUUUGUCACCUUGUCAACAUCACAAUUAAGUUUUGUAUUACAACUUUUUAUAGCCUUGAUUAAUAUAUUACUAUUAAUGUAAUCACAGUCAGUAAAGCGAGACAAAUUAAUUUGCUUUCGUUGGACUAUCCUUUCAUCACAUUUUCACAUUUUAAAUAUAGUUUUACCAACCAAUUUAUUUUUAUUUAUACUAAAGGUAAAACGUAGUCUCCCAAAUCAACACUUAAACUUCACUGCCUCAUUAAGUCCAAAGCGUUUAAGAUACACUUAUUUAAGUAAAACAGUUUGUAAUUUUAAGCAACUUUUAUUAUAAAAAACAAGUCUCAUGUGUAAUUAAAAUUAUUUUCAAAUGUGAUUUUAUUAAAUUUAAAUUAUAAACAUUACCAAAUAAAGAAUACUUUUGAAAGAUUUCAAGACGACUGGAUAAUUUGAAUCAACAAAUUUUGGCUUUAUAGCUCCACAACUGUAAAAUACUUUUGUACUCGGUACAAAAAUAAAUUUCACAUGGAAGACUUCCAGCUUUAUAAGUACUAACAUUUAACAAGUACUAUAGAUCAUUCUUAAUAAAUAUUUUGGUAAUUUGUUAUCGGAAUGAAAUUAUAAUUUAUAAUACCAGGACUUUGCCCAGUGACUAUUUGAACUUACACUCAAAUACAAGCAGAAUGUAGAAUAAUUUGUUUUCAAGUUAAAAUUAGAUUUAAUUAUUGUAAUUAAUUAAGCUUAAACUUCAAAUUAGACAGAUUAAAAAUUUGCCAGUCAUAUUUAAUAGUAUAAUUAACUUUCAAAUUGCACUAAUUUACAAUAUAGAUAUUAACACUGUAUUGUACAUGUGUACUUUUAUUUUAAAAUAUUGGCAUGAAUUAGCCUUGCACAAAUGUGCUUAAUACUGAUGAACAUUAUUUGAAUUUUUUAUCUAAUUAAUUUACUAAUUAUUUUUAAAAUUUUAUUAUAAAAAUUAUUAUUAGAAGUUGUACAACAGUCGGAGCCUGGAUUUAGUUAUUUUAUAUUUUUAUACUCGUAUAUUGUAUGUAUGCUCUAUGUAUUGUCUUUUUAUUAUCAAAAAACAAAAUAAAUUCUAUAUUCUGCUUAUUUGAACACAUUUACACUUUCAAUUUUAAGUAAUAACUAUGUAAUAAAAAAAUUACAAAUCAGAAUAAUUUAAAAAUAAUAUUAAAAAAUUCUUUGUUGAAGAAAAAAAGCCAAA
Molecule: long non-coding RNA, 2573 nt
Organism: Cimex lectularius (bed bug)
Lineage: Eukaryota; Metazoa; Arthropoda; Insecta; Hemiptera; Cimicidae
Exons: 3
Source: RefSeq, a predicted model, not a curated record